This 248-nucleotide ribosomal RNA is filed under the name Mus platythrix (flat-haired mouse). Its description in RNAcentral is "partial 16S ribosomal RNA". Lineage: Eukaryota; Metazoa; Chordata; Mammalia; Rodentia; Muridae. The record is from RNAcentral.
AUGAACACUAUGAACUAAUCCUAGCCCUAACAAAAAUAAAUUCAAUUAUAUAAUUUUAUAAAACAAAACAUUUAGUUAACUAAAUUAAAGUAUUGGAGAAAGAAAUAUAAUUUAGGAGCCAUAGACAAAGUACCGUAAGGAAAGAUGAAAGAUUAAUUAAAAGUACAAAUAAGCAAAGAUUAAACCUUGUACCUUUUGCAUAAUGAAUUAACUAGAAAUACUCUAACUAAAAGAAUUUAAGCUAGAAA